AUGGGACUAGAAGCAUCCAUAUCACAGGAAAAGGAAACAAGAAUGUUUUGUCUGCUCUCAUCCAAGAUCCACAAUUUCAUCAGCACAAACAACAAAGUUGUUGAGGAUAUUUUUUUCACGGAAAAAUUAGUUUAUACUAUUAUUCAACCAGGGCUAACAAUACCACACUUAAGUUUAACAAGCCAUCUAGCCCGGAACCAAUCCAAACUGAUGUAUUUUGCCAUGAAAAUCACUAGCAAGGUCCUGGUUGCGACUAUCAUGAGUAAUACAAACUAUUACUCGAGGGACUCUCAUCAAGUCUUUGAUUAA
RNAcentral lists this ribosomal RNA (309 nucleotides) under Triticum aestivum (bread wheat). Its description in RNAcentral is "partial small subunit ribosomal RNA". Lineage: Eukaryota; Viridiplantae; Streptophyta; Magnoliopsida; Poales; Poaceae. The record is from RNAcentral.